Molecule: non-coding RNA, 24 nt
Filed under: Arabidopsis thaliana (thale cress)
Lineage: Eukaryota; Viridiplantae; Streptophyta; Magnoliopsida; Brassicales; Brassicaceae
Source: RNAcentral
UGAUGCUUGGAACGGAACUAACAU